UCUCCGUUGGUGAACCAGCGGAGGGAUCAUUACCGAGUUUACAACUCCCAAACCCCUGUGAACAUACCAUUUGUUGCCUCGGCGGUGCCUGCUUCGGCAGCCCGCCAGAGGACCCAAACCCUUGAUUGUAUACAGUAUCUUCUGAGUAAAUGAUUAAAUAAAUCAAAACUUUCAACAACGGAUCUCUUGGUUCGG
RNAcentral lists this unclassified non-coding RNA (195 nucleotides) under plant metagenome. RNAcentral describes it as "partial contains small subunit ribosomal RNA, internal transcribed spacer 1, and 5.8S ribosomal RNA". The record is from RNAcentral.